Molecule: ribosomal RNA, 3149 nt
Filed under: Saccharomyces cerevisiae (brewer's yeast)
Lineage: Eukaryota; Fungi; Ascomycota; Saccharomycetes; Saccharomycetales; Saccharomycetaceae
Rfam family: Bacterial large subunit ribosomal RNA
Source: RNAcentral
AUAAUCAUGGAGUAUAAAAAUUAAAUUUAAUAAAUUUAAUAUAACUAUUAAUAGAAUUAGGUUACUAAUAAAUUAAUAACAAUUAAUUUUAAAACCUAAAGGUAAACCUUUAUAUUAAUAAUGUUUUUUUUUAUUAUUUUUAUAAUAAGAAUAAUUAUUAAUAAUAAUAAACUAAGUGAACUGAAACAUCUAAGUAACUUAAGGAUAAGAAAUCAACAGAGAUAUUAUGAGUAUUGGUGAGAGAAAAUAAUAAAGGUCUAAUAAGUAUUAUGUGAAAAAAAUGUAAGAAAAUAGGAUAACAAAUUCUAAGACUAAAUACUAUUAAUAAGUAUAGUAAGUACCGUAAGGGAAAGUAUGAAAAUGAUUAUUUUAUAAGCAAUCAUGAAUAUAUUAUAUUAUAUUAAUGAUGUACCUUUUGUAUAAUGGGUCAGCAAGUAAUUAAUAUUAGUAAAACAAUAAGUUAUAAAUAAAUAGAAUAAUAUAUAUAUAUAUAAAAAUAUAUUAAAAUAUUUAAUUAAUAUUAAUUGACCCGAAAGCAAACGAUCUAACUAUGAUAAGAUGGAUAAACGAUCGAACAGGUUGAUGUUGCAAUAUCAUCUGAUUAAUUGUGGUUAGUAGUGAAAGACAAAUCUGGUUUGCAGAUAGCUGGUUUUCUAUGAAAUAUAUGUAAGUAUAGCCUUUAUAAAUAAUAAUUAUUAUAUAAUAUUAUAUUACUCCUUCCGGGGUUCCGGCUCCCGUGGCCGGGCCCCGGAACUAUUAUAUAAAGAAUGGUACAGCAAUUAAUAUAUAUUAGGGAACUAUUAAAGUUUUAUUAAUAAUAUUAAAUCUCGAAAUAUUUAAUUAUAUAUAAUAAAGAGUCAGAUUAUGUGCGAUAAGGUAAAUAAUCUAAAGGGAAACAGCCCAGAUUAAGAUAUAAAGUUCCUAAUAAAUAAUAAGUGAAAUAAAUAUUAAAAUAUUAUAAUAUAAUCAGUUAAUGGGUUUGACAAUAACCACUUUUUAAUGAACAUGUAACAAUGCACUGAUUUAUAAUAAAUAAAAAAUAAUAUUUAAAAUCAAAUAUAUAUAUAUAUAUAUAUUUGUUAAUAGAUAAUAUACGGAUCUUAAUAAUAAGAAUUAUUUAAUUCCUAAUAUGGAAUAUUAUAUUUUUAUAAUAAAAAUAUAAAUACUGAAUAUCUAAAUAUUAUUAUUACUUUUUUUAUUUUUAAUAAUAAUAAUAUGGUAAUAGAACAUUUAAUGAUAAUAUAUAUUAGUUAUUAAUUAAUAUAUGUAUUAAUUAAAUAGAGAAUGCUGACAUGAGUAACGAAAAAAAGGUAUAAACCUUUUCACCUAAAACAUAAGGUUUAACUAUAAAAGUACGGCCCCUAAUUAAAUUAUAUAAGAAUAUAAAUAUAUUUAAGAUGGGAUAAUCUAUAUUAAUAAAAAUUUAUCUUAAAAUAUAUAUAUUAUUAAUAAUUAUAUUAAUUAAUUAAUAAUAUAUAUAAUUAUAUUAUAUAUUAUAUUUUUAUAUAUAAUAUAUAUAAUAUAAACUAAUAAAGAUCAGGAAAUAAUUAAUGUAUACCGUAAUGUAGACCGACUCAGGUAUGUAAGUAGAGAAUAUGAAGGUGAAUUAGAUAAUUAAAGGGAAGGAACUCGGCAAAGAUAGCUCAUAAGUUAGUCAAUAAAGAGUAAUAAGAACAAAGUUGUACAACUGUUUACUAAAAACACCGCACUUUGCAGAAACGAUAAGUUUAAGUAUAAGGUGUGAACUCUGCUCCAUGCUUAAUAUAUAAAUAAAAUUAUUUAACGAUAAUUUUAUUAAAUUUAGGUAAAUAGCAGCCUUAUUAUGAGGGUUAUAAUGUAGCGAAAUUCCUUGGCCUAUAAUUGAGGUCCCGCAUGAAUGACGUAAUGAUACAACAACUGUCUCCCCUUUAAGCUAAGUGAAAUUGAAAUCGUAGUGAAGAUGCUAUGUACCUUCAGCAAGACGGAAAGACCCUAUGCAGCUUUACUGUAAUUAGAUAGAUCGAAUUAUUGUUUAUUAUAUUCAGCAUAUUAAGUAAUCCUAUUAUUAGGUAAUCGUUUAGAUAUUAAUGAGAUACUUAUUAUAAUAUAAUGAUAAUUCUAAUCUUAUAAAUAAUUAUUAUUAUUAUUAUUAAUAAUAAUAAUAUGCUUUCAAGCAUAGUGAUAAAACAUAUUUAUAUGAUAAUCACUUUACUUAAUAGAUAUAAUUCUUAAGUAAUAUAUAAUAUAUAUUUUAUAUAUAUUAUAUAUAAUAUAAGAGACAAUCUCUAAUUGGUAGUUUUGAUGGGGCGUCAUUAUCAGCAAAAGUAUCUGAAUAAGUCCAUAAAUAAAUAUAUAAAAUUAUUGAAUAAAAAAAAAUAAUAUAUAUUAUAUAUAUUAAUUAUAAAUUGAAAUAUGUUUAUAUAAAUUUAUAUUUAUUGAAUAUAUUUUAGUAAUAGAUAAAAAUAUGUACAGUAAAAUUGUAAGGAAAACAAUAAUAACUUUCUAAAAAAUAAUUAUGGAAAGAAUUAAAUUAAUAUAAUGGUAUAACUGUGCGAUAAUUGUAACACAAACGAGUGAAACAAGUACGUAAGUAUGGCAUAAUGAACAAAUAACACUGAUUGUAAAGGUUAUUGAUAACGAAUAAAAGUUACGCUAGGGAUAACAGGGUAAUAUAACGAAAGAGUAGAUAUUGUAAGUUAUGUUUGCCACCUCGAUGUCGACUCAACAUUUCCUCUUGGUUGUAAAAGCUAAGAAGGGUUUGACUGUUCGUCAAUUAAAAUGUUACGUGAGUUGGGUUAAAUACGAUGUGAAUCAGUAUGGUUCCUAUCUGCUGAAGGAAAUAUUAUCAAAUUAAAUCUCAUUAUUAGUACGCAAGGACCAUAAUGAAUCAACCCAUGGUGUAUCUAUUGAUAAUAAUAUAAUAUAUUUAAUAAAAAUAAUACUUUAUUAAUAUAUUAUCUAUAUUAGUUUAUAUUUUAAUUAUAUAUUAUCAUAGUAGAUAAGCUAAGUUGAUAAUAAAUAAAUAUUGAAUACAUAUUAAAUAUGAAGUUGUUUUAAUAAGAUAAUUAAUCUGAUAAUUUUAUACUAAAAUUAAUAAUUAUAGGUUUUAUAUAUUAUUUAUAAAUAAAUAUAUUAUAAUAAUAAUAAUUAUUAUUAUUAAUAAAAAAUAU